This 214-nucleotide ribosomal RNA is filed under the name Rheinheimera baltica. RNAcentral describes it as "partial 16S ribosomal RNA". It matches the Rfam family "Bacterial small subunit ribosomal RNA", at positions 1 to 216 of the family's 1533-position model. Lineage: Bacteria; Pseudomonadati; Pseudomonadota; Gammaproteobacteria; Chromatiales; Chromatiaceae. The record is from RNAcentral.
UAAUUGAAGAGUUUGAUCAUGGCUCAGAUUGAACGCUGGCGGCAGGCCUAACACAUGCAAGUCGAGCGAAUGAGGGUAGCUUGCUACCUGAUUUAGCGGCGGACGGGUGAGUAAUGUAUAGGGAGCUGCCCGAUAGAGGGGGAUACCAGUUGGAAACGACUGUUAAUACCGCAUAAUGUCUACGGACCAAAGUGUGGGACCUUCGGGCCACAUA